GAAAUCAACAUCUCAUUUAAUGGUGAACUUUUUAUGCUAUCCCCUCCUCUCUCUUUCUUUUCUUCAACCCUCCAGCUCUUUUUCACUCCUUUCUCUCAUUCUCACUUCCUCAGUUCCUCCUCUUUUUGACUGUCUCUGUGUCUUACCAUUCUUUCCAUCAUUUUACUCUUUUCUCCAUUUCCUUCACCUCUUUUCCAUUUAAUCUGCAAUCUAUGCGAUGUUGUCUUUUUAUCAUUCAUUUUACCAAAAACUAUAUCAGAUGGUGGACGGCAUGAAUGCUCCUUAAUAAUGAAACCAAAGACUUUAGAGCUCCUCCUGGUGACUGUUUGUGGUAUAGGUCAUAAAGCCUGCCUGCUCCAUGUAGACAGGUGCUACUCAGGUUUAGGGGGCGCUCAUACCAAGCAUGAGUACAAUCAUAUACUCGCUUUAUUCACGCAAAUCUAGAUGCGCAAAUGAAUAGUAUUUACUAGCUUCAUUUGUGUGUGCACCCACACACUGACGUGAUCAGUUUGUCCUCCAUUUUCAAAUCCAGUGAACAGUCUGUUUGUCUGUUUUCAUACGUCACCAAGCAACCUUCGUGCUAAGUAGUUAUUGUUAUGCGAAUAUCCACUCAAGUUGACAUUUGCGUCAUUCGCGCCGCCAGAGUCAUAGGAGCGUCUUUGCAUUGACUUAACAUGUAAUUCAUUCCUGUGAAUGUUUUUACUCAUGCUGUGUAGAGACAGUAACUUUAAAAAUUCAAAAUACAUGUCAGAAUAAUUUUGUCUCCAACAUGACUCAUGCCAUACUGGUCUGAAUCAAGUGCAAGUUUCCAAUUUUCAAAGAAUUCGGGUUUAAUUAGUUGUUUAACCUUAAAAAGGGGGGAGAAAGUGACGUCAUGAUUAACAGUUCUGCUGAAAAGUGUGGCUUCCUAAAAUAAACUAUAUUACCGUGGCAACCAUCUUGUGAUGAUGUCAUGCUCAUGGUAAGAAACUUAAUCAUUGUUAUUAUGUAUUAUUACUGUCUUUCAGGUGAAAAAUUCAGACAAAUUACAGCUAUUUUACAUCUUCCAGAUUGAUAUGUAGGCACAACAUAUUUGACAGCCUGUUAACUACCUCAAAGUCAACAUUCUGAAAGUAGUAAAUGUUUGCACAAUAUCUGUUUCUUUUUUUACUGAAAUGUUGGCUGAAUGCUAAUAUGAGCUGUAAACCAACAGGCAGUCAAAUAGGCAUGUUUUUAAGUUAAAAUAUGGCCCUAUAUCUACAGUAUAGUCUUUGUAGCUGCUUAACAAUCAGUGAGCGGUGAAAUGACCCGAGUGUGUCAUGAAUUAUACGGUUUAUGACCUGCAGGACAGUAAUACUAGCAUUCCCUGGCCUCGGCAUGCUGUCACAGUAAGAUGGCCACCAUGGGAACAUUGUCUUAAACAAGAACAAACGUGGCCCCCCCAAAAUGACUCAUACAUGUCUGUGUACCAUCGAUGAUGUUUUCUUCUUGGUUAUACGCUAUACCAUGCUUGCCCUUUUCAAAAUCAUCAUCUCUUUAAGCACAAGCUCUCUAUCCUGUGAUAAACUAUGACCCCUUUUACUGUGAUAAGAUUGUGAGAGAUGAGAAAAAAAGAUUUACAGGGUAUGCAGAGUUUAAGAAGGAUGCAGAUGAUAAGGAAGAUGGGGAGUGUGAAAGACAGAGUUUAGGUUUCUUGAUGUGAAAGGAGGGUAAAAAAAAGAAAACAGUGAAUAAGAGUUCAUAGAAAAAAGGGGCGUAAAUGUAGAAAGUUCAAUAUGCUAACGUCGAGUGACUGUGUGAUAAAUAAUGGCAGGAAGAGGGGGAUCAGGAUGAUAAAUAAUGAUCCAGUCUGAGAGAGAAAAGGACAACAAUCAGUGUAAUUAAUGAAGGGAGAAGAGAGGGAGAAAGAGAGGGAGGGAGGAGAUGGCGCACAAAUAAAGAGCAGAUAAAUCACACUAAACAGAGGAAACUAGGAGGAUGGGGAGAGCAGAGUCAUCGGAGAAUAACCUCCAGUGAGUGCAGUAUUGACUUCCGACAACAACAUGUUCACGCAUCUGGAUUUGAACAGUAAGAAUAAAUGUUAUCACCAUGAAACAUCCCUGAAGCUGAAACAUAGCAUUCUGCUUCCAGAGUCAGUGUUUUCCUCCAAAGCUGCUGCUGUUUUAACUGUAAGGAUGUGUCAUUUUUAUAACAGUUAUCGCCUGCAAUGAAAAAGACUUGACUGGUUGACCUUUACAGUCCAGUUCCUUUUAACAAAGAGCUUGUUAAUGAGGUGGGUUUGAGGAGUCUGUUCACACAAAAGCAAUAAUAUGAUAAUCCUCAUUAAACUGAAGUGUCCAAUGACAGAAAAUACUGAAGCGUUCGCAGAGGAAUUACUCUCUAAUGAAAGAAACAAAAAUGUAAACGUUGCUGGCAGGGAGGUUAUUGGCUGGUCCAGACUAAUCAGGACAUUGUGAGUGGAAACACAGACAGCUGUUAAUUUAUUGUAAUCACUCUUAAUUUGAUUUUUAAAUCUUAAUAGCACUUCAAAACAAAAGUUCAUUUACUAAAAUUAUGUCCCAGUGGAGAAAAAUAGAAAACAAUUAAGGGUAAAAACUAAACAGCUUUAUUUUGUAAAGAAGUUUAAUUAUGCAAAUAAAUCCAUGUACCCCCUUUCUUUUCUCAUGGAAGUAAAAACUUUUUAUUAUAUUUAUUAUUAGGCAAAAUGUAAGUAAAAUCGGAGGUAAACAAAAGUCUUUAUACUGGAUGUUUUGUACCGAACAUUAGUCUAGUCAUGAGUAUGCUGAAAAAAAAAAUCCAUUGACCUUUAUUUUGAGGUGUAAAAAACAUUUAAUUAUGCAAAUUACUGUUGGAGUAAAGAAACAGAUUGCUGCUUAUUUCAACAAAAAAACAUUUUGCUUGAUGAGCUCUCAAAUAAAUUCUCUUUAUCUUUAUAUUUUCCCAGGGGAAUCUCAGAAUAACAGUACUGUAUAAAGGAGAAAAAAAAAACAGAUGGCCCAAUGCUAUUAUAGAAUUAUUUUCAAAUGUUACAAGCAGCAAUUACAAGAAACAAACAAAAACAAAACACUUAAAAUAUGGAAGAAAUUGAGGAAAAAUAAAUGGAUGUUUAUGGUUUAUAAAACCUCCCCGAAGUGCACUUAUGAUAAAACUCUGUUAACUUUCAUUUGCUCUCAUUCAGUGAAGGCAAAGUCUUCUAGUAUGUUGAGAGUAAAUCUGUUGGCUUAUAUAUGUUUGAUAUGGUAGCCUGUGCGUGUCUCUAUAGAGCUUCAAAUAAGUUCCCUUGACCUCCAUUGUUUAAAGAGAAUACAAAAAUUAAAAGAAAAAAACAGAUGAAUUAGUAUAUUAUGGUGUUUUUUCUGUGUUAAGAACAACUCAAAAAACAAGUGUAGAAAAGUUAAGUUUAGAAAUAUAUGCUUUGUGAAGCACUUCAACAAAAUUCCAUUUACCUCCAUUAUUCUCCAUUAAGUGUAAUAUCUUCGAAAAUAUUUCCUGAAAGAAUAAAAUGGAAAUAUAUUCUUUGAUAAAGGAAAUUUCUCCAAGGGUUCAGAGCCCUAAAGAAAUAAAUCUGUUUACUUCCAUUAUUUUCCACUUUGAGAAAAGUCUUAGAAAAUGAAUUAUUCUGUGAGUUUUCUAAAGUCAUUUCUCAAUGUUAUAAGCCCCUCAACAGAGUUGUACUGACUUUCAAGCAAAACUUGGGAAUAUGAUUUUGGAAAAACAGAUGGGAUUACUAAUUUCAUUUAAUUUAUCUCAUUUGUUUCUUGUUUAUGUAUCUAUCUAAUUUCAUUCUCCUCCAUUAUUUCUGAAUCGUGGCAAAAUCGCAGAAUACUAGCAAGAGAAACAAAAAAUAAUAAAUGCCUUCUAGAGAGUCUGUGCUGUGGUCGCCUCAACACAAAAAAGGUUCCAUUUACCUUCAUUACUUGGGUAUGGAUUUAAAAUCUCUGGGGCAAAUAUCAUAAACCAAAAACAUUCUGUCCUUUUCUUCUCAUGCUCUCUCCCACCUAAAUCCUCCUCAGUCCCUCAGCAGAUUUAUGUUUUGCCACUGUGAUAACGGCAUCUUUAGGCCUUUAAGAAUAUUGGGCAGUAUAAUUUUAUUCCUGGGCUGUUAAAUAUGAGUGAGAGAGCUUGUCAUGCCAUAAUAACUUGCUUGAAGACAGAAAGGAAAUGAACAUUUUGCAGACCAGUGGCCCUUUGGAGUUUUCCUAAGCAUGAAAUGAACAGUGUGAUUGAGAAGACAUGAUUUUAUGGCUUAUUGGACUUCACACAUACAAGAGCGGAUAUGAGUGUGUCACAGUCUUGUAGUUUUUUUUGGGACACAUAAAGAAACUUUGAAAGAAAAUUAGAAGUGAUAGCAAAAAUAUGCUUCAUGGUGCAUUCAGAAGUAUCAACUCUGUGACAUGUUUGUCUGUCUUGUAUUUUUGAUCGUGUCUUUUAUGUAUUUAUUGAGCAGCUUGGAACAUUUACUGAAAUGGACCUGUAAAUCACUCUCACUUGUAGAUAGAAAUGAGAGCAGCAUUUAUUGACCAAAAAAUGUUGAAUAAUAAUGUUAACGCAGGAAAGCUAUUGGUGUCAAUAAAGCUCUAUUUUUCUUCUAUUUUUGAUCCUCUCCUUUCUGACAGGACUAAUGAAAAAUGGAAUUCAAUUCCUAAUCUGCAAGGUGCAAUUAUUCUAAAAAUUAAGCAGAGAAUUUUUCACAUGUAGAUUAUUUGGUUUGCAUUAAAUUAAUCUUCAGUUUUAUCUACAUGACCAACAUUUCUCAUUUUUAGAGUUAGGGGUUGAAGUGUGGAUGUCUUGGUUGGCACUUAGUACCCCUUGUUAGUCACAUUAGUCCAGACAGUAGUUUUUUUCUGUUUAGCCUGGCACAGCUUUUGGAGCUAAAUAAAAUGUAAGCAAAUUCUCUAUUAUUUACAAGAUGUAAGGCCUUCACCAAUUCUCUUUUUUUCACACCCUUCUUUUCCUGAAUUCCUGAAAUUAUGUCUAGGGGUGUUUUCGAAUUAGCCAACUGCAUACCCCUGCCGACCGCAGUCUGCAGUAGAUACUGCAGACAGAGUACUGUGUUCGAUAGUAGUAUGCAGUAUGACUGCAGGUCGGCCGUUAUUAUGUAGUAUGCUUGGCCUGGUUAAGCUGGUUUGCGGUACGGAAAAGUACAUCAUACCCUGGUAAAUUGCAACAACACUACAGUGUUGCACAUUCAUUUAUGCACUAUGAAAAAUCUUGUAUGUGUUUUAAUUUGAUUUUUCUGGAUUUUUUAGCCCAAUACCAGCCAUCAAUAUGUGUUCUAUCCAUGCAAUGACUCGUUGAUCUGGCGGCAUUUGAUUCUCAUCACGGCACAGUAAACACAGCAAAGUUAUGUUGUCAGUUAUGUUGUCCUUGUUUCGCUUAAAUGAAAGAAGUUGCAAUCCUCUCUAAACGUGUUAAAUGAUGGCGUCCGUUCGGUGUGGUCUUAUUUCCCUUGUCCCGAUGGUUUGAUAACUACAGUAAGAACACUCUAAUACAAACUCCUGUCUCCUGUCAAUUUAUUUCAAAUUCCGUCCUGGCAGCUUAUUGAGUCAGACUGCUUAAACGUUUACUCACCUUUCUGCAUUAAAGCUUUAGACCCCCUUGUAAUGCCAGCUGCCUGUUCAGUUGUGUGGUGUAAACAUCGCCGAUGGCAUGCACUGUGUGUUGUAAAUAUCACGCGUACCAUACAGCCAAAAUUUAAGGCGAUGGAAAUAGAGGAUAAAAAUUGUCAGCAUCAUAACAAAACAUUGCAUUCUAGUCAGUGGUUUGCACACAUAAUGCUGAAAGAAGGAGGGGAAGACAGGCUGAAGAAAUCUUUUGGCUGCCCUCUUAGAAAAUGAAUGCUCCGGUGAAAAGUUUUGCCGCUCUCCGCUAUUCCACCGUCUGCUCAGGGGCUUUGCAUUGUGAGUAACAGUCGGCGAAGGAGACUGGUCCAAUGCAUACAGUGAAAUUUUCCCGAAUCAGUAUGUCAUCUGGGUAUUUUCGGCAUACUGCAAAUUUCGCAUUUGUUCGCCUACUGCAUACUGCACACUAAAUUUUGGGCUAAUCAGUAUGUACUGCUAGUAUAGUUGGCGAAUUCGAAAACAGCUUUGGUCUUUGGCAUGGUCUGUAUAAAAUAUUGUAUACAGUCUCAGUGACAUCACUACUAACUUUCUGAGGAGAUGUUCUGAGGUCCAAUGAUGACAGUUGCCAUAUUGAAAAUGCUGACACAACUCCACCUUAGGUCAUGCCUGUCAUUUUACACAGCCAGGCUUCUUUAUUAUGCAAAUCUAUGGCAUGACUCUUGGUUUUGAAUCUCAAACUGGAUGAUAUAAAAACAAUCACUCCUGGUACAGUAUGUUCAAAUAAAUCUGUGAGUUAUUUUGACCCAAACACGCUUCACUUUGCUGUAAGAGGAAAACAAGCAUUUGCUGCUGGACCUCUGACCAGCCCUGGAGUCACAUUAGGGUCAUCCUGGAGGCUUCAGAGGGUUUGCAAACCCUGGUACUCCUCUGAAAACUGGAUUCUCAUUACUUUACUGAACAAGUGAAAAUCCACUCUUAAGUCCAUCCAUACUGGAGUGUUUCUAUGAUGUUGUAUAUACAAAGGCUUUUCGAAAACAAACCAGAUAACAAGGUUGUAGCUGUAAGAAUUUUCUUGACCCUGUAAGCUAAUAAGAAGUGUCUGGAUACAUCAUCAAACACAUGCGCGCUAUGAAUCCCUCGCCUGCUUUUCUGUUAAAAAUGCUGCAUUUUGUGGCCCCUUAUGGAGAGGCUUUUAUUUGAAAUGAAACAGUCUUGACAACCAACACUGACUCUCAAGGAUUUUUCUGUCAGAAGUUGCUCUUUACAAACCAAUUUCUCCAAACACUAUUGUGUCAAAAUGCUUUGAAUAACCAAGGGAAAGGGUUGUUAAAAUCGUCUUUUGUAUAACCAGACUUUGAUUUCAGGAGCAUCACUAGUAGAGUAGAUAAUACAGUGAAAGGCAUCUUACAUAGAAAAACAGGGAUAUCUAUCUAUCUAUCUAUCUAUCUAUCUAUCUAUCUAUCUAUCUAUCUAUCUAUCUAUUUAUCUAUCUAUCUAUACAUAUACGUAUAAUCAAAUAGACUAUAACAACUUACUAUCUGGAUGAAAAAUUGGAGCUCAUAAGAAAUACCUAUUAGGAUAAAAAAAAAAAAGCGCUGCAGCAGAAACAGACUGAUUAUCUUGUAGAGGUAAACAUGUACCCCAGAGGUAGAUAGUGAAAGAGCAAUAUCAUCAGUGCAUCUGUUCACCUGUGUGUGUGUGUGUGUGUGUGUGUGUGUGUGUGUGUGUGUGUGUGUGUGUGUGUGUGUGUGUGUGUGUGUGAGAGAGAGAGAGAGAGAGAGAGAGAUACCCCACAUGUAUGAUGCCUGCCUGCAGUGCGGCCCCUCAGUCCCAGCCACAACUCCCAAAUUUUACUCCUAAAUGCUUCCCAAAAUACAACAUGCCUCUGGGGGAGUGUCACAGAGAGGCGAGAGAGGGAUGGAGGGAGAAAAGGGGAAGAGAAAAAGAGUAUUUUUACCCUUCAGGGGGGACUAUCAAGACUGAAACAAGGCUUGAGUAACAUUAUGGGAGGAGAAAAAAAGCUGGGCACUGGUGAUUAAAACGAGGUGAACAACUGCAGGGCAAUUUAGAUCUAUCUUGGCUCUGUUUUAAGUGGUACCUUACAGGCUCAUAUAUAUUCAUUUGGAGACAGUUAUUGAUGUUUUAAUAAUAGAACUGGCUGUAAAAGGGUAGCUAAUCAUUUAUAGACUUGUAAUGGCCUUAUUUUUUCAGUUAAGGCUAAUGUUUUUAAGCCUUGAGAAAAGCCUCUUAGAGAAGCAGAUGGGAUGUUUACAUCAACAUAUGGAUUUCUUUGAACAAUUUUCCAUGGAUCCGUGUACUUUUGGAUAAAAGUGAUGACAUAGUAAGGGUGGAUAUGUAGUUGGGCAACAGACGUGUGGAAAAGUACAGUCAUUCACCAAGACAGACAACAAACUAUGUUUAACAAAUGGUAAAUAAAAUCCAGAUGAGUGUGGUCAUGCAAAAACGUCAGAUAUCAAGAUUUUUUGGUUCUACGAUAAGAAGUGUUCUCAAGCCAAAGACAAGCACACAAGACUGCUCUGUAUGAGACCUACAUCAUAAUCAAAUAUCCAGAGAACUACAUCCCAUCAGAAGACUGCACCGGAAUACCAAGGUAAGGAUCACUUUGUGGUCUGGCUUGAUGUAGGAAAGUUAUUUGUUUAAUAAUAGUUGUGAUGUGAACAUGAAUUCUCCGUCUCUUAACCCUUAUUUCCCAUCCACAGAAAUAUUUAGGCCUUAUUGCAUACAAAAUGUCCAUCCAUUUGAAUUACUUAGAUGUAACAUAAACAGGCCAAUAAACUUGAUGUGCUGCAUAUAUGUCAGUCAAAUGUAAAUGAAACAAUUAAGAAUUACAUUUAUGUAAUAAUACCAAUAAACCCAAGGUGUUUAGAAUAAACAAUUAAGAUUUAUGUAUUCAUCAUUGAUACCCCCAAUUUGUUUCUGUCUCAAAAAUUUUAACUAAAUUAAUCUCGGUUGAUCCACAGCUCAUCAUAUUUAACUAUAUUCAUACAUUUUAACAGAUUAAACUGGACCGUUUUCAGAAUAAGAGAAUUAUGUCGAUUUUAAGAAAUUUUAAUGAAUAAAUUCUAAAAAAUGAAAUAAUUUAAAUACAAUUAAAUAGAUGUAAAUAGUUAAAAAUAAAGUAUGUUUUUUAAGUGCGACAAAUGUUUAUGUUAUUUGAAUUCUUAUUCUUUACACCAUGAGCUUUAGAGCAAUACAAUGGGCUCUAUUUUGGUGCCUCGCCAAAGACGUGCCGCAAGCGCAGCGUCAAUCAGAUCCGCCGCGCUGACAAGGCGUUCCCAAGCACAUUUUGGUAUUUUGGUGAGCCGCGCAGCCCGGCGUAAGUAUCCCCCCUCCCUAACUCAGCUCCUCCCGGCAGCAUAAGUCAUAGACGGGGAGGAGAGAGGGCGUGGAGUCGGUUUAACACAGUCGAGACCUGUUUUCACCAAUCACAUAAGCUCCUCUCCUUGCCUUUAAAUCCGCCACCGGCGAGGCGUAUUACUAUUUUCAUGAAGUAGUCAAAGAGAUCAAGAGAUGUCUGAAGACAGUUAUGCCACACGAUGGCGACAGAGGGCAGCUGCUCAACAAGUGUCCUCCACACUCUCUCAUCUGAGCACAGAUAGAUUUGGUGUGCGUAAUGUUGGACCCACUGGUAAGACAAACACCCUUUUCCACAAAAAAGACACUCACAUAAAGUUGCAUAUAUUCAAACCUCACGUGACAAAGGUGGGUUUAGCGCACAGAUCACAACAUAAACUCCAAAAAUGGCAUUAAAAUCGGAACCAUCUGUGCGUAAAUGACGCAUCGCGCUCCGUGGCCUGGCUCUUUCUUUCAUAGAUGUUGGCAUAUAAAAUAAAUUUGGCCCACAAAACUGAAUAUUAUAAUAUCCGUAUGUCGGCUUAAAGUAGAUAACGCAUCUGAGCACUGAAACAAAUCAGCUGUUCAGCCGCAGCAGCAAGCAAGACGGACAGAGGACACGGAGACGUGUCCAGGUCGAGCUGUGCGAGAAAUAAGAGGAAGAAAGAAAAGGGGGGAGACACAUUACAUAUCUUGUUAACUUCAUCAUGUGUGUUUAUUUACUAGAUAUUUAAUUUAAUUUGAUGCAGUUUCAGCUGUAUUGAUUCGGUCAGGUUGUGUGCCCAAACGCGUGCCAAACGCGCUCAUCAGAUCAGAUAUAGAUCAGAAUAUAUCGAUAUAGAUCUAAAUGUAUGUGCUGACUCAGAUUAAUAGUUGAUGAUCAUUAUUUAUUGCACUGAAAUCUGCCUGACACUGUGGAAACCUGCCGGUGAGGCAUCAGUGAGGUAUGUCGAUACGCCGCCGGUCUACCAAAAUACUACAAGACCAGCUGCGUUCCGCCUUGCGCUGAAAGCUGACCAGGUUUGAAUCGGCGAGCUUUCAGCGCACUUUACACGCCGGUGGCGAGCACGAAAAUGUCACUGCGCCAGCUGAUUCUGUCAACACCUCCCCCUGCCACGCCACCACGCCCAGCUUGGCGGAUCUCGGCUCGCCUCCGUGCGACUCAGUCCACGAAAAUACCAAACUCGCCUUACGCCGGGCUCCGCCAGACGAAAAUACAACUGCGCGGGGCUCGCCGCCCUCCGCCGCCUCACCGGCGCGAACGAAAAUAGAGCCCAAUAUGUUAUUUUUUCACAAUUGAUAGCAAUUGAGCAUCUGCCUGCGCCUGUGACUCUGCGACACAGCAGCAUGGUGUGUAUAGUUACAUUGUACAGUCAUGUUGAAUGUUCAUCCUUGUUCUUCUCAUCCUCUUCCAGUUCUGAAUGUCACAGCCCAGUUUGAGUCAAAGGAUAAGAGCAGCAACCUGAGCACUGUUGUUCUCAGGCAAAGGAAGCCAUUUUCUAAGGUCAGAGAUUGCAUGUCUGUUAAGUAACAAAAUAAAGAAAAGGGCAGCUGAGAGAGAAGAAGGAGGUAAGACAGCGAGAGUCACCAAAUUUUAAAACAAUUGAAACCGAAUGGGUUCUUACCUCACCUGAACAUGCCUUACAGGGAAAAGAGAAAUGCAAAAAUUAAAUCCUCUCUGCCUUACCUAAACUUACCUGGAAAAACAUAAAUACAGCAGAAGUUUAAAGCUCCAAACUUAGAAAAUAACCAUUGAAAUGAAAUCUACAAAAAUACAUACCUCAACUUAGUGCCUAAAACCCCAAGAAAACUUUAAAUGUCUCAUUUCACAGAGGUCAAGUUGUCUAAUAUUUCUUUCAUAUAUGUUAUUUUCAUCACUAGGUUGUCAUAUUACAUCUUGGUUCUCGUAAAAAUUAAGGAAGCAUUCGAGUUAAAAUGAGAUUUAAAUAAUUCCUUUGAGCAAGGUUUCUAAAUUUAAAUUCUCGGUACACACAAACGGCCGUUUUAAUGCUUGUAUCAGCUUUAAUUCACUGUUUCAAGCUUAGUUACUUGCUUGGUAAAACUAGAGUAAAUGAUCUGUAAUCUGCAUGAGACAGAAAGAACCAUAUCAAUAAAACUUUGGAUCUUAGUGUUUAGUAUAUGAUUGUGUUUCGGUGUUGAGUGAUCAACAGUUUUCUGCUUUUGCUCAGUUAAAUCUCAAUUUACUCUGAAAAAAGUGAAAGAUGAUUUACAAUACUGUGUGUAUGUGUGAUUUUACGAGUGGAUGUUGAUGUCUUUGGCCAGCUAUAAAGACAAUGGCACCGUUCAGGGCUUUUCUUGGCAGACUGACAGAAACACUGAUGGCAAGUGAUUGGAUAAACCAUGCCUGCAGGAAACCCACACGCAAACAAACACUCACAUAUGCGCACACAGGCGUAUACAAAAACACACACUUUUCUUUAUCCAUUCUCUAUAAUACUUCCCAGUUUCUCCCUGACCCUGAUCUUAUGCUUUCUCUCUGAUUGGGCACGUCACUCAUCCCUUUGCUGAUGCUUGAUUCUGAUUGGCUGACCGUAAAGGUCAUUUGUUUUAUAGCAGAGGGUCAGGGUUUGAAAUUGAGAUUGAUGACUGUUAAGGGCCAUACAGAGUGUGAGGCCAGUUUAUAAGUUACUAUGACUGGUGUGAUAUAUGGGGCCAUGGCUGACCAUACACACACACACAAACACACAAGUGAAAAUAAAUGAGUGUGCUUCUCAGACAAAUUGACUUAUUCCAGUUUCCACGCCUCCUACCAUGUUAUGGAUGUAUUGACAGAUGGAGAUUCCCAGUAUAUGUAUGUGUGGGAGCUUGUGAAUAUAGAUUUCUGGAUUACGUUGGCAUGUUUGUAUGAUUCUAUACAUGUGUGCAGGUAGAGAAAAAAAAGUUUAGGUCAAAAGUCAGAAAGAGAGUAAGAAAUAAAUGAAGGGUUAGCCUUGAUCCAUCGACCAAAGGCUGGUCUGUUCUUUAUAAUUCACACACAACACAUCAAACAUGCAUACAUGUCCACAGGAUUUCCUAAGCAUUAAACCCUAUUCCACUACAUUAGCUGAAAUGGUGGGGAAAAAAUGAAUCAAUGAGAAUGUGGUAGAGGGUUAAGAUGUCACUUCAAAUAAAACAUUCAUUAAAGCCAAAGUAACUUACUCCAAUGUUUCAAUUGUGAUGACUUUGCAAAAUGCCCAUACAAACUUUAAAGUCCUCUCAAGGAAAGGUGUCCAUCACUGCUUGGUCCCCACAGGUACCUAAAGACAAAUGUACAAACACACAUAUAUGUAUUUUUUAUUGCGAAAUAUCAAUCAAUCAUUGAAAGGAAGUACAGUUUUCCUGACUCCUUCCGAAACUUCUCUUCCUUCUCAUCUGGCCUUCACCCGUACUCAACAAGACAAAAUGGCCAUCUUCGGUUACCUCUCUGUCACACUUCUUGUCAUCAGUUCAAUAUCACUUUUGGAGGACCGAAACUAUGGAAUGAUCUGGAUGCAUCUCUAAAAUCAAUAUUAUCCUUCAAAACCUUUAAAAUAUAAUUGAAAUCUCAUCUAAUUAUGUCUUAAACACGUCAUUAUCUGUUAUGUUCAUGUUUCUUUCCUUUUUAUGUAUACCUAUAUUGUCUUUAUCUCAGGUUGAUGAUUAGUCUAUGUUUUAUUUAUGGCAAUUCGUAUAUGUUCCGACCUUUUCCUACUCAUUGUAUAUUUAUAACCUGUCUAUGUCCUAAUCACUUUGUUGUUUGCACCCUAUGCCUUCACUGCCCUGAUGGGAGUGGAACUCUGUCUAAGCCUAUCAGCUUCAUUCCCUCCUUGCACUGUUUUUAAGCUGUGCUACAUAAAUAAAAAAAUGAAAUAGAAAUAGAAAUGUCACCUGAAAAUUAAGUUGUUAAUAAGUUAAUAAGAACUCAUGUAAGCAUUUUAUUUGUGAGGACUUUGAAAAAUAUUCACGUGAAAAAGUGCUAACAGAGUCCUCAAGAAAAAGGUUAUCCAUAAAUAAUCGGUCCUCACAAGUACACUAAGACAAGCACACACACAAAAUACACACAUAUUCAAAAUGAGUGUCUUCAUAGUUAUAAUUCACAAAUACUGAUGCACACACUUUAGUCUCGAUGACUCCAUAAGAAAUGUGAGCAUUCACAAACAUGAAACUGCACCACUGACUGGUUCACACGACACGUUUACCAACUUAGGCUGCCACAGGCUUGUGCAUUAAGGUCUAUAACCCGGGAACAGUCAACAUUGGUAAGUCACUAAUUCAGAUUUGGGAAUCUUUACACCCCCAGUUGAUACACUGACAUAGUUGACCCAUUGAACACAGCCCUGUGCCAUCCUGGCCUCAGUUUUCAUCUCUUUCAUGCCACCUGUCAUUCCACACUGAAACAAUCCCUAGAGCACAGAUGCAGAUAUAAGCAGAUGCAUUAUUACAUGAUAUUUUAACAACAUUGUAUUAACAGAAGAACAAUUUUUAAGCAGGUUACUAUGCUUGUCAAAGGUAGAUUUGCUUGUCAUCGUGAUAUAAUUUGAUAUCAGUGUAUUGAAGCUAACAGAAGCUAGCUGCCUGACUCAGAUCUUUUAUGUGUAAUGGAUUUGGUUGCUCAUCUUUUUUUUUAUAAAACAGAUCUAAAUUUCAACCAACAUGAGCUUGAACAAGAAAAAAACAAGAAAUCUGUGAAAAAAAGGGAAAAAUGAAUAAAAAAAUCCAUAUCUAUUAUAACCUUAGUGUCAACGCAUAUAGUACGCAAACAGCAUGACUCAUGCCUACUGCUCUGUCAGUGAUGUAAACAAUCAUUGACACGUCCACACACACAUCACUUAUCAAGCUUAGAACCCCCAAUGAGUGACUGCUGCAGGCAAUGACAGCACAUACACUCUCUACACACACAUACACACGCUCACACAUUUUUAGACCCAGUAAUCUUUCAAGUCAAAUCCUUAUUAUUUACCAUGCGAAUUAUUACUCAGUAGGGCCCAAGGGUGUGCGUAUGUGUGUAGGUCCAUGCACGUGCCAAAAGUAUUAAUGUGUACUCUAAGCUUCCUAUCCAGAUUUGGAUGUGUGUUUUGGUGUAUAGUUGUGUGUGAGCAUUGUGGCAGCGUUUCACUUGGACAAAAACUAUGUUCAGCAGUAUCGUGCAGUUCGAUGUAAACACUCAUCAUCCACACCACAGUGACCUUUAAGCUGAAAAGCAAACAUGAAGGAGUGUCAGUCUUGCUCAGUGUAUUACGGGUGUACUGAAGUCAACGUAUACAUGCAAUGUAAUGCAUGAAUUUCAUUUGCUUGUGCGAAUGUUUUCAGAGAACGGACCCCACUGUUACUGGAGACCAACACUGUGAUUUCCAGAGUCAUCUUUUAUUAGUCUGUGAUUCCACUGAAAUAACUUUACAAGGCUGAUAGUUUAAAAAACUCUUCACCUUACACUGGUGCUCUAUGAAGACCCUGAAUGUAACCUGACACAAGCCAUUACAGCUGCUGCCUCUUAAAGCCUUUACGAAGCUUAUUGCAUCAUUUGAAAUUUUCUUGACAAACUUUGACCUACUUUAUUUUUUGCGAUUGCAAAAGUGAGGUAAUCGGAACUGUCCACACAUGUUGGAUCCCAAACUCAAACACAGGGAGAGUAUAUGGACAGCAGGGACACUGGCAGCAACAUCAACUGAAGCGCCUGUAAUUGGUUUAUUACAGCUAUUACCUGCUUACUGAGGGACAUAAAAGUGGAUCUCAUGCUUUGAUUACUAGUCUUAAAAAUUACUUAUCCAUACAAGCCUCAGUAUUAUUGGGUAUAGUAAAAUUUGGUGUACAAGCUGUACUUUUAGCACCUUUUCUUCAUCCAAAGAGUUGGCUGUGUCCUCUGCACUGUUGGACCAAAUACCAAAGUAUAAAAUGCUGAGAAAGUUCAAUGUGUUGCAUUUAUUUACCCUGAAAAUAGCACUAGAACAGCAAAAGUUUCGUCACUGACAUGCAGCAUCAUGACCACCAGAAUAAGUGCCACCAUAUACUGUGUAUUUAAAGCUUCUGCUUCACUGUGCGAAGCAUGCUGAGAGUGAUGGGCAAGUUUUUUUGUAAAAUAUUGGGCAUUAAGCUACAAGUUACUCUGUUAAAUUUAACGAUGCUACACCAGAGUUAUCCCUCCAAGAAAUCUUGUAAGCUAAAAUACAGCAACAUGGCAAAAGUAGCUCAAUCUAGCGUUUUUGUAUCUUGUAUUUAUUGAGUAUGAUUUCAUCUAAACAUUUUUAUACUGCCUAAUUUAGUUCAAAGUCGAUUAUUAGACCUGAUUAGCUGAUCAGCACGGCAGGCAGAAGAGCCCAAGCAUGUGUUUCAUCCACUAAUAGUGUGAAACAAAAAGAAAAAAAAGGGAAUUUCUGAUGGAAAAGUGCUGAAAUUUUUCUCAGUAGAGAGUACUCUUAUGCUAAGGGUUGGGUAUCGUUUGAUUUUGAACGAUACCUCAUUUCGAUUCCAGUUCCAAACGAUUCUCUAUUCUGAUUCUUUUAAAAAGCAGGAUAUUAAGGAAAAAAAACAAGCAUGGUUUAAAUGAGGAUGCUAACUGGAGUUCUUCUUUUUGGAUAAAAUUUCUGAUCUUCUCCAUGAAUUUUUAAAUUAUAUUCACUUUUUAAAGAACUUUACUUUGAAUCUCUCACAGGGCUAUUUUCAACCAGAAUAUAAGUAUCAAUUUUUGUUGUCAGGUCAUUUGUCUAUGAAAAAGUACAAGGGCUAACAUUAGUUGGAUAUUUAAGUUGACCCACCGUACAUGGCACAAUUUGUUCGCUGCUUCAAUGUUAGCAGAACACAAAAGUAAUUUAUUGUUUUACUAAUUUGAUUCUGGCUGGUUAGCAGAUAAAGCGCAUCAAAGACGGGCACUUAGGCAUUUCUCCUCCAUGAAUCCUGAGGUGUUUAAUCAUGUUGGGCGUUCACCCUCCUUUGCAUGAUAUAACUGUGUUGCUAAUGUUGCACUAAGAUAAGAGUUCAUUGUUCCUGCUGUGGCAAUGUCCUCGUUGGUGUUCGGCUACUUCUUCCAGUCGGCGGACUUGAAACUUGGAAUCAAAAUUUUAAAAUUUGAACGGUUCUGGGAGAAUUGGAAUGUUAGUCCCGGUUCCCAUCGAUGCCCAAGACUUGAUGCCCAACCCUACUUACGCUGAGAUGAGCGCUUGGAUCAGGGUCUCUUAAAACGAGCUAAAUGACAUGGUAGACUUGAACCUAUCUAAAGAAGACUAUAACCUUGCUUGCGUGCCGGCCCUCCCAGCACUUUCUCAUGAAAAAGGGCAGAGUUCACCAGCAUUCAGUGUGACCUGUACACUUACCAGAGACAUGUAACCCAUACAACCCCACUCUAAAAAUACUGGAUUAUCUCUUUAAAGACAAGUGCAACCCAGUUUUGCAGAAGAAUCUUGUGCAUUAUGAUGAUGAUGAUCAUAUCCUGCCACAUUUAUAUUCCUUGCACCAGAAGAAGUGUUGCACUUGCAGCUGCGGCAGCCUAUAGCUUUAGGGAGGAUGAAAGCCAGAUAUUAUUUUUUUCCUCCAUGUGGUUGUUUAUGUUCCUCUUGUUAAGCUCUGCAAUGCGCCUGUAAGUUGCAAGCAGGGGUUUGGUAAUCCUGUUCCCCCUCAAUCCCCUUUACCUCUUAUCUCUAUACUCCCCUCUGCUCUCUAACCUUCAUCCCCUUCUUCACCCUGCAUCCUUUUCUUUUUUCCUCAAGCCCUCCAUCUUUUUAUCCAGAUUGCCCUCCAGUCGCCCUGCUUCCACCAGCUCACUUUGUUUCUUUCCUUCUUUUCUUAUCCGACUCUCUGUUUCCAGUCAAUCUUCUCUUUGCUGAAUUUCACAUUCGUCCUACUUUCCCCCUUUUUUUAUUUCUAACAACCUACUCUGCCGCCAUCAGGCAUCAAGCACUAUCAUUGACUUUCGAAGGAUACUUGCUUUAAAAUGAUUAGCGGCACUUUUAUCUCUAAGCCUGUUUGGAGUUCCUAUUGCUGCACUACUAAUGGAAGCUCUAAGCUUUUUAGUUUUUAUUUCACUUGGUAAGGGCUAGUUUACAUAACGAUUUUUAUCAAUUAUACAAAGACUUAAAAAGUUUCGAAUAUCUCUCUUGUAGAACUCUCAUAUUCCAGGGAGGUUUGGAAAUAUUCAAAGCCAAAAACUUUUCAAACUGAACAAACCCUUAAAUCUGGAACAGUGAACAGCAUUUCAUGUGUCUUUUGGGAACUUUGUCUGAGGAUUCUGAGUAUUUAACAACCUUUAAAUUCAAAUGAAAACCGCUAAUUGUAUUUUUAAUGCAAUUAUAACCACUUUCACAAAACAUUUUGAAUGCAAAUUCUUCCUUGUGAUCAAAGUCAUUUUUCAUUCUUUGUGCUUCUUCUUUUUCAGAUCACCUUCGAGCUUGUUUAAAAUCAGUAAUACUCCCAUAUAUACUGUAUUCAACAGCUUAUGUGAUGUUGACAAGAGGUAACUAUUAAUGUGAGAAGGUGAUUUUUAGAUAAACAUAAGGUACUUGCGCUUUAGUUGAAGGAAGUGCUCAGUGCUCUCUUAACACCCCAAGUUACAUAAACCACCAUAUGGUCCUAAAUGUCCCCCAACACCCAAGCAUUAAGAUAAAUGGGAAAGAUGGGCGGCAAGAGCAUACACAUCAUUAGAGUUAUCAUGGGUUCAUUAGUAUUUCAUUUACUUGGGCCAAUGACUCCUUGGGGAGGCUUAACAGUUAGCUGUGGUGUCACUGAACCACCCCCCUUCAUGAUAGUGCUCACCCCCUGCCAAGAAAAGUACUCACCAAAAAUAGAGAAGACUGACAAUGAGCAAGAAAAUAGUGUGAUAAUGUUUUUUGUGGUAUUUUAUAGCUACAAUAAUUGUGAAAGUGAGAAUGUGAUAUUGUGGAAGCCCUCUUAUGGUCCCAAAUAGAGCUUGCAAUUCUCCAUUGCCCCUCCAGGACAUUGCGGUCAUAACUUGCCAGCCUGCACCUCAAGUCUUCAAAAGUGGUCUAGGUGGUAGAGCUUUCAGUUACCUGGGUUCUCUACUCUUGAAUCAACUACCAGUUGAGGUGCAAGGCCAGACACCCUCUCCACCUUAAAGAGGAGGCUCAAGACCUUCCUUUUUGAUAAAGCUCAUAAUUAGAACUGGUUCAGGCCUGGGCCAGCUUUUAGCUAUGCUGCUAGAGGUUUAGACUGCUGAGGGUACAGGUGCAUUGAGCACCUUUCUCUCCUUCUGCAUUUCUGAGUAUUUUUGCGUUCAAAUCUCUUUGAAACUCUGGCAGACCCAAACGGCAGCCUCAGAUUCAGUGAGAUUUCCUACGUAACAAAUUCAAGCUCCACCCCCGAGGCCCCGCUAUGCAAGUCAGGCUCGGAGAAAUAGAGAGGACAAUUGCGGAACAAGCAUGUGCGUUAGCGGAUUGCGAUGUUCGUAAGAAAGCUAAUUAUGUUAUUCUCUUUUAUCAUGCCCCUAAAGACAUAAGUGUCCGAGAGCUGAACAGCUCCUAUGCUACGUGCCACUUCUACUACACCAGCAACGACAGGCUGCAAGCUAGCGUGAAGAUGAGUGUGCAGAGCAGCGCUGUCUCCGCCCACGACUCAGAGGUGAAUUGCUAAUAAGCUACUGGAGCUCUGCAGAAGACAAGCGCUUGAAAAUGACACAAAUAUUGCGAUUGUGGCUAAAAACGUAAUAAUCACAAUUUAAAAACCACAGAUAAAGCUAAGUAGUAAAAAAAUUGAUCGGAGUGGGACUUUACCUUUUGGUCAACAAGUCCCACUAGAGUUGCUAAUACAGGCUUUUCUGGGAGUCCCUGUGCUCCGUCAUGCCGUAGGUUCCUUUGGAUCACUGCUGCAGACGUUUUGCUGCUGUGGACCUGCCUGCUUUCCAUCUUCUUCAACGACACGUGUCAGUCUCACCUUUGUCCAUAUCGCUCUUCCUGCAUCUUCCUCUAUCCCCUCUUUAAGCCUAAUUCAGUAGCAGCAGAUGACUGUCUUGCCCUGAAGGAACUUUUCCCUCUCCACUGUAACUUGAGAAAUGCUGCAAAGUUUUUCACUUCAUGUGGUUAAAGGUGGGGUAGGAGUGGGUCUGAUCUUACAAGAUGGGGCUCGAUCUUCUCCCAUCUUUAUAUUGGGUCUAAACAGAGUAUGGUCUAGACCAGCUUUUUUGCUAAGCGUCUUUAGAUAACGAUUGUGAAUUGGUGCUAUAUAAAUAAAGAUUGAUUGAAAUAUAGACAAGUGUGUAUUAAAACCCUCUCAGCCUGGUUAUGCUGGCGCUCCAUGAGGAAUUACCAGCAUGCGUGUUGUCUUUACUAAAGAGCAGCAGAGACAGGCACUGGUCUGAAUUCUUAGUGUUUCGAAUCUGCAUAUUUUUGUGUAUGUUUGAGUGUCAUUAAAGCUACACCAGAGGAGGUUGAAAUGGCGUGACUGCCAGAAUUACACAGAGCAUUUACUCAUUUAGCCCACUCCUACGUUCUUCUAAUCCCACAGUGUAGGUCUAUUGCUGCAUUUAGAGAAUAACACCAAUUUUCAAAAAGCAGGAAGGAUUACUCACCUUAUUUAACUUCCAUUUCCUCUUCUGAUGAUAAUUGAAUUGAUUGUAAUGUUUUUAAAUGUGGAGAGAGACUGCUGAAUAAUCUAUGAGUCAGAAAACAUGGAUUCAGUUAUUAUUUUGGGAUAUAACUCACAGUGGAAUAACAAAACAAAAGAUACUAAAUGGAUUGUCUGUGUUUUACUUUUGAAUGAAGGUAAAUAAAUGAAACAAAGCAGAAAGAAAAUGAGUUCGAGCUCACGGAUAAUGGAAGCUUUUUCCCAAAAGUGGCCAAAAGUUUUUUCAACAGGGAUGUCUGAACUUCAAAUUACUACCCUGAAAGACAUUUUGUGAGCAUUAGUCCGAUGUUUCAAAGGAAGUAAGUUUUGGGGGGUUCUUAUGAUGAAAAUUGGUCAAAAUUGAAGUAUGAUGCAAGAAAAGACAUUUAGUUGCCCCCAAUUAUUACAGCUCCAAAUUACUGAGUUUGUCUAUUUAAUAAGGUGAAAAGGAUUGGAAAAAAUGAAAAGGAGAAAAUAAGGUUGAAUUAUAUAUGAAAUUAGGGAAAUGCUCACAAAUAGGUAAACGAAAGGAGCAAAAGUUAAACUUAAAAAGUCAUUAUUUGAAAUUAAAGCAAUGAAAAUGAAAAGUCUGUUCCUUCAUCCAUCCAAGGUGUUAGUCUGAAUAAUCAUUGUACCCCAGGUUCGCUGACAAAAUGAGAAGAUUGAAAGGAAGUCAGGAAACAGAUGAAAAGAUUGAUGGCGAAGGGUGGGAAACAAUGAGAAGAGUGUGAGAUUUUUCAAUUAUCUAGGUGAGAUCAAUGGUGAGCUGUUUAUUGAUCACACACUCAAUAUGUUAAUCAAUACUGUCUGGGGUUUGACCUUAAACGUAGAGGUGCAGAAACAGAGAACAAACACACAAUAUGUAAAAACCUGACUCAAAGUGUCGUAUGUGAGCAAAUGAAUGGAUAUUUGGAAACAAAUAUACAAGCAGACACUUAAUUCAAUUCAAACUUGGGCUGUCACAUUAAUGAUAGUCAACUUUAUAGAAAAUGAGAUAUUGAUAAUGUGCUAAAAAUCAACAUACAGCACUACCAUGUAACUCAUUGGUUUAUAGUCGAUUCUUUGAGCCACCUGCCAUAAAAUGGAGCGAAAGCAAAGCCCCAGAAGAAGACCUAGUAAGCAGGCAGCUAGUUAAGCUUUACCGCAGUACAAACCAUGUCUAAGGAAAUGACAUGAAAGUGCAGUAUUGUGUCUGCACACAAAAAAGAAGUGUCUUCCCUAGAUUGGAUGUUUUUAGGAUUUCAUAGAAAAGGCUAGAUGUUUGUGGACAACACACAGUUCAUGGGUUUAUUUCAUUUUACAUUCAUACCUGCCUUCUGACUAAUCACCAAGCUGUGUUGAAUACUUGAUUCUGAUUGUCAAAACUUUUGCAACGCUAAUAACACUUGACCUCUGCCUGUUGACACUGGGACAAAAUUAUCAGCUUAUGGAAAUGUUCUUAAAUGGUGAACACUGUGACAAACUGUUUUGGACUUUGGUAAUAUGUGCAGUUAGCUUAAGAAGCUACUGAGGCAGAAAAGUGAAACAAGACUACUGCAAUCCAUGAGACUGCAGCAAAUCUGCAGAGGACAUAUCCAAGCUGCUGAUCACGUCAAAGAAACUUAACAAAAGCAACCUUGUUAAAUUUACUUAAUUUAUGUUUAAAUGUGUGUCAGCUUUAAAGCUCUGAUUGAGAACAGAAAUGUCAACAUAGAUUUCCUGUGGGUAUCCAGUUCCCCUUGUCUAACAUUGCCUUCAAUGAGAUGUUGGGUUUAAUAUGAUUUAUAACAAAUAAGCAGGCUGUUGCUUUGACUUGACCUUGAGUUGGAAAGCCAAUUUAAUGUUAAUUUAUCCCACAAGGUUGCUGAUAAGAGGCUGUUGCCAUGCAAGAGUUACAGGCUGUGGAAAUGAAAAGUAUUUUCUAGUUUUAAAGAUGAUAAAAAAAAAAAAUAGUAUUUUGUGUCAACUUGCUCAUGUGUUAAGGUUGUGGCUGUACGUUUGGCAGGAUAAUGUAUGGUAAACAUGUGGUUAUGCUAAUUUGAACCCAAUCAGGGUGGUGAGAUAAAACAGGCGGCGAUUUAUAAUAUAAUUGCCCUCACAGCGUCAAAUUAUAAUCCAGGUUUUAAUCUAAUUCAUCAUUGUUGGCAUUUGUAAACAUCUGUAGUAGUCUAUAUGUCCUUGUCUUUUUUGGUUUUAUCCAUGACAUUUUGUAUGUGGACAGUAAAGUUGUGAAAACCAAACCCUAUUUUUUAUGCUGCCUCUCGUCCACAUGUGUGUUUUAGUCAGUAACUGUGCAGUUUGUUAGUCACACAUUUUAAAAAUGAUGUGAUCACUCAAAGCAUGCAGAUGCUGCAUCUGGUCCUGUCCAUCUUAUCCAGUUUCAGUGUAAUAUAGACCACGUGCAAACAUUUGCAUCCUAUUUAGAUAAGUUGCAAACAUGGCAUCCGGUCUAAAUAUAUAGAAGGAAUCUACUCACAAUGAAACACAGUACCCAGAACAGAAGGACUAAAAGAUUUUGACUCAAAUGCACUUUCAAGAUUUCAGGUUGCCAUGCAUGGCUUCCCGUUAUAUGACAUUUUGACAGUUGCACUACAUCUUUGUUCCUCAUGUUGUGAAACACUGGCUGGUGCUGACAACCCCACAGAGAAUCGACACAACUCUGCAGCUCAGAACAGCUUUUAGUUCAUUGUUUUGUCAGACAAACCGUAACAAUGCCAGCUCAUUUCAAAUUACCAACAGCAGCUUCCAGCUUUACAAGCUCAUACAAGACCACUGUGCACUACCUUCCCAGAGCACAGUGGCAAAAAGCCAAUGCGAACAAGUGGCUGGUGACGAGAGUUGGACUUUCUGCCAGCCUAAAAGACCCAGAUAUUUGUUGUUGGGAGCUGGCAGACCGAACUACUGAACAUAAGUAAAUAACGGUCUCUAAUUGAACAGUUGAAAAGAAAUAAAGUGCCCUUGAUCAUCCCUCUGCAUGACAAAGAUUCUACAUUAAAAUUUGUGAAUUCACUUUUCAAAGACUUUCAUUUUUACAUUAUGCAUAGUUCAGUCUGAUUUGCCACACGAUGCAUCUUAUAACCCUCUGGUAAGAUUUAGCAAUGAGGAGGAGCACAGUGCAGCUCCGUCAAUGGCACAUACCUGCUGUGGCACGCACACUGAAGAGAUACAAACCAUAAUCUGCCAAUGAGCAAGUGAAAAAAUGCUGAAGGGAAAAACUGAAGGCCAAAUCCACCUUAUUUGACAAAAAGCCCUCGUCCAUUUAAAUGAUCAAUACAGCUUUUACCACAAGAGAGAUCACAAGGCUAAAGAGGUUGCUCAAGUUGCAUUUGGUUUACACCAGUUGCCUGAUUUAUAACUUUUCAUUGGUCAGAGGUAUGACCAGGUUAAGAUGAGCUGAUUCUUCACUUGAAAAUAAUCAUGCAUACAAAUACAGAAUCUGUUGUUAAGAACAUAGGUUUCUGUUUCAGAAGCUGUUUUUUUUAUUGUCCAUUAAGGUUUGGGUUAUAUUUAAGGUAACAGAUCUGAAAGAAAAUGAGUCUUUGGCUAUCCAAGAGCAGCAACCAUCGGAUAUGAUCUGUCAUUGAUGCUGCUUUGUGUUAAACCCUAUCAUUGAACCUCUAAGUAAUCAACCUUGUCUCUCAGCCUUUACUCCAAUGUCCAUCUUGUUUUGCCGGUCUAAGUCAAAAUAAUGGUGAGAACAAAAAUCAAAAGAAAGCAGUGGAUUAAAGUCUUAUAUUGCUUGUUCUAUUCUAGAAUAUUCCUUUUUUUAAGCCUCUAAAACUUGGCACCAUCUCCGGGGGCUGUAUCUUUGAAUGAUAGCCAAUUAGAUUCAAGACUGGGAUUUCCCCAGCUGUAACCAUAUCGAAUAAAUAUUGUUGAUGGGUUAGAGAUUUCAACAUUUCACUUUCUGUGACUUUUUUACUUUUGCCUUGGUGAAUAUUGAUUAAAACCACAGAACCAAAAAUGUUUUUUCUUGAAUCACACCACCUGUUGUGAUUUAACACAAUGAACAGGCUUGCUUAGCCUUCUUUCUCACAUACUAUGACCUACAUCAAGAAAAAAGGUGUUGGCACCAUUUGGUUCAUAGAUUUAAAAUUUGGAUAGAAGGAAACAAACCAGAGGUCGAAAGGCUGUAUGAUGGGCUUCUUAGGCCAGAUUUGGAGCCCAAUUCAUCACCCCUUAUUGCUGAUUUAAGGGUCAAUGUAAACAAUUGUUUGUCCAAAUAAUCCUGAAGUAUGUAGUGUCAAUACAACUCUUUUACCACUUCCAGCUAAGUGGGAGCGUUGCCAGUCUUGGAUGAUGGACAUGGGUUGCCACAACUUAAAUUCUUGUCCUUUAAUUGUCUCCCUCUGAUAUAAGACAACUACAUAAUGUAGCAACACAAAUCUUGUGUUAACAUGUCCAUUAGUGGAGAAGAAACCUGCACCGAUGUUUAAAAAGGGUUGAAAUAUAAGUGUGCAGGUCUCCAUUUAGGUCGAGAGUGUCAUAACUUAUGCAUGAAUGCGCGGACCUUGAGUAGUCAUCUACUGCAUGUAUCCAGUCUAUCAGGAAGUGUGCAUUAGGUAGUUUGGUAGAAACAAUUGCUCAAAACUUCUGACUAUUUCAGUUGAAAGUCUGUCUGCAGAGAACACUUAAAAACCUGAUUUUGUUUCUCAGCACUUCCUCAAGGGAACCAGCCUUUUUGCUGCUGUUACAGAUAGUUUUCAUUUGAAGCUUAUUUUCCUGAGAAUAUUUUAUGCUCCCACCUCAACACCAACA
Molecule: long non-coding RNA, 24155 nt
Filed under: Xyrichtys novacula (pearly razorfish)
Lineage: Eukaryota; Metazoa; Chordata; Actinopteri; Labriformes; Labridae
Source: RNAcentral